UACGUAGGUGGCAAGCGUUAUCCGGAAUUAUUGGGCGUAAAGCGCGCGCAGGCGGUUUCUUAAGUCUGAUGUGAAAGCCCACGGCUCAACCGUGGAGGGUCAUUGGAAGCUGGGGAACUUGAGUGCAGAAGAGAAAAGCGGAAUUCCACGUGUAGCGGUGAAAUGCGUAGAGAUGUGGAGGAACACCAGUGGCGAAGGCGGCUUUUUGGUCUGUAACUGACGCUGAGGCGCGAAAGCGUGGGGAGCAAACAGG
This 253-nucleotide ribosomal RNA is filed under the name uncultured bacterium. RNAcentral describes it as "partial 16S ribosomal RNA". It matches the Rfam family "Bacterial small subunit ribosomal RNA", at positions 524 to 776 of the family's 1533-position model. The record is from RNAcentral.